RNAcentral lists this non-coding RNA (38 nucleotides) under Trypanosoma brucei brucei. Lineage: Eukaryota; Euglenozoa; Kinetoplastea; Trypanosomatida; Trypanosomatidae. The record is from RNAcentral.
GUAUAUCGGAAGGGAGUAAUUCCCUGUAGCUCGUGUAU